UGUCCAGACUCCUACGGGAGGCAGCAGUGGGGAAUAUUGCACAAUGGGGGAAACCCUGAUGCAGCGACGCCGCGUGAGUGAAGAAGUAUUUCGGUAUGUAAAGCUCUAUCAGCAGGGAAGAAAAUGACGGUACCUGACCAAGAAGCCCCGGCUAACUACGUGCCAGCAGCCGCGGUAAUACGUAGGGGGCAAGCGUUAUCCGGAUUUACUGGGUGUAAAGGGAGCGUAGACGGCGAUGCAAGCCAGAUGUGAAGGCCCGGGGCUCAACCCCGGGACUGCAUUUGGAACUGUGUGGCUGGAGUGUCGGAGAGGCAAGUGGAAUUCCUAGUGUAGCGGUGAAAUGCGUAGAUAUUAGGAGGAACACCAGUGGCGAAGGCGGCUUGCUGGACGAUGACUGACGUUGAGGCUCGAAAGCGUGGGGAGCAAACAGGAUUAGAUACCCCAGUA
Molecule: ribosomal RNA, 447 nt
Filed under: uncultured bacterium
Lineage: Bacteria
Description: bacterial SSU rRNA
Rfam family: Bacterial small subunit ribosomal RNA
Source: RNAcentral